This 74-nucleotide transfer RNA is filed under the name Magnetococcales bacterium. RNAcentral describes it as "tRNA-Gly". It matches the Rfam family "tRNA". Rfam says of the family: Transfer RNA (tRNA) molecules are approximately 80 nucleotides in length. Their secondary structure includes four short double-helical elements and three loops (D, anti-codon, and T loops). Lineage: Bacteria; Pseudomonadati; Pseudomonadota; Magnetococcia; Magnetococcales. The record is from RNAcentral.
GCGGGCGUAGUUUAGUGGCAGAACGUUAGCCUUCCAAGCUGAUCAUGGGGGUUCGAUUCCCCCCGCCCGCUCCA